AUUGAACGCUGGCGGCAGGCCUAACACAUGCAAGUCGAACGGUAACAGGAAGAAGCUUGCUUCUUUGCUGACGAGUGGCGGACGGGUGAGUAAUGUCUGGGAAACUGCCUGAUGGAGGGGGAUAACUACUGGAAACGGUAGCUAAUACCGCAUAACGUCGCAAGACCAAAGAGGGGGACCUUCUGGCCUCUUGCCAUCGGAUGUGCCCAGAUGGGAUUAGCUAGUAGGUGGGGUAACGGCUCACCUAGGCGACGAUCCCUAGCUGGUCUGAGAGGAUGACCAGCCACACUGGAACUGAGACACGGUCCAGACUCCUACGGGAGGCAGCAGUGGGGAAUAUUGCACAAUGGGCGCAAGCCUGAUGCAGCCAUGCCGCGUGGACGGAAGAAGGUCUUCGGAUUGUAAAC
Molecule: ribosomal RNA, 407 nt
Filed under: uncultured bacterium
Lineage: Bacteria
Description: bacterial SSU rRNA
Rfam family: Bacterial small subunit ribosomal RNA
Source: RNAcentral